RNAcentral lists this ribosomal RNA (438 nucleotides) under Babesia divergens. RNAcentral describes it as "SSU rRNA". It matches the Rfam family "Eukaryotic small subunit ribosomal RNA", at positions 500 to 988 of the family's 1831-position model. The record is from RNAcentral. Lineage: Eukaryota; Apicomplexa; Aconoidasida; Piroplasmida; Babesiidae.
GUCUUGUAAUUGGAAUGAUGGUGACCUAAACCCUCACCAGAGUAACAAUUGGAGGGCAAGUCUGGUGCCAGCAGCCGCGGUAAUUCCAGCUCCAAUAGCGUAUAUUAAACUUGUUGCAGUUAAAAAGCUCGUAGUUGAAUUUUUGCGUGGUGUUAAUAUUGACUAAUGUCGAGAUUGCACUUCGCUUUUGGGAUUUAUCCCUUUUUACUUUGAGAAAAUUAGAGUGUUUCAAGCAGACUUUUGUCUUGAAUACUUCAGCAUGGAAUAAUAGAGUAGGACUUUGGUUCUAUUUUGUUGGUUUGUGAACCUUAGUAAUGGUUAAUAGGAACGGUUGGGGGCAUUCGUAUUUAACUGUCAGAGGUGAAAUUCUUAGAUUUGUUAAAGACGAACUACUGCGAAAGCAUUUGCCAAGGACGUUUUCAUUAAUCAAGAACGAAA